CUUCAUGUACAUAGGUGACAUUUAACACUGUAGAAAAUCAGCAGUUUUUCUAUUUCGGUUAUGAUGGAAAUAAUUGGUUUUCCCUUUCAUCCCAAAUUG
Molecule: long non-coding RNA, 99 nt
Organism: Etheostoma spectabile (orangethroat darter)
Lineage: Eukaryota; Metazoa; Chordata; Actinopteri; Perciformes; Percidae
Exons: 3
Source: RefSeq, a predicted model, not a curated record